GACGAACGCUGGCGGCGUGCUUAACACAUGCAAGUCGAGCGGUAAGGCCCUUUCGGGGGUACACGAGCGGCGAACGGGUGAGUAACACGUGGGUGACCUGCCCUUAGCUCUGGGAUAAGCCUGGGAAACUGGGUCUAAUACCGGAUAUGACUCCAUGACGCAUGUUGUGGGGUGGAAAGCCUUGUGCGGCUAGGGAUGGGCCCGCGGCCUAUCAGCUUGUUGGUGGGGUGAUGGCCACCAAGGCGACGACGGGUAACCGGCCUGAGAGGGCGACC
Molecule: ribosomal RNA, 275 nt
Filed under: uncultured bacterium
Lineage: Bacteria
Description: partial 16S ribosomal RNA
Rfam family: Bacterial small subunit ribosomal RNA
Source: RNAcentral